GAUGAAGAACGCAGCGAAAUGCGAUAAGUAGUGUGAAUUGCAGAAUUCAGUGAAUCAUCGAAUCUUUGAACGCACAUUGCGCCCCUUGGUAUUCCAUGGGGCAUGCCUGUUCGAGCGUCAUUUGUACCUUCAAGCUCUGCUUGGUGUUGGGUGUUUGUCUCGCCUCUGCGUGUAGACUCGCCUCAAAAUAAUUGGCAGCCGGCGUAUUCAUUUCGGAGCGCAGUACAUCUCGCGCUUUGCACUCAUAACGACGACGUCCAAAAGUACAUUUUUACACUCUUGACCUCGGAUCAGGUAGGGAUACCCGCUGAACUUAAGCAUAUCAAUAAGCGGAGGA
This 337-nucleotide unclassified non-coding RNA is filed under the name soil metagenome. RNAcentral describes it as "partial contains 5.8S ribosomal RNA, internal transcribed spacer 2, and large subunit ribosomal RNA". The stretch from base 1 to 120 matches the Rfam family "5.8S ribosomal RNA", at positions 35 to 154 of the family's 154-position model. The record is from RNAcentral.